RNAcentral lists this long non-coding RNA (11281 nucleotides) under Ananas comosus (pineapple). RNAcentral's name for it is "long non-coding RNA (ACOM_LNC031918)". The record is from RNAcentral. Lineage: Eukaryota; Viridiplantae; Streptophyta; Magnoliopsida; Poales; Bromeliaceae.
AGGAGUUGCAAUUUUGGUUUGAGGUUUCGUUUGGAAUUGCGAGCAAUUUUGCGGUACAUACUAUAAGAAAAUACGAAGAAAUAUGUAUAUUUUGUUUGUUUCUGUACGCAAUAUCAUAUUUGGCAUAUCGCGACAAAUCAAUCGUAAUUAACUUUUUAUGGUUCGACAAACAUAACUCUAUAUGUUUUCACUCCAACUCCGUUUUGCCUACUACCAUUAGAUGAACCUGAACACUAAACAGGCCCUGAAUAAAUUUUGGAAGGAGUUCGUGCGUAUCAAUUUAUGCAUGUUUGUAAUUUGUUAGUAGUAGCUUAAUAGCUCGGGACAUGGACGUCGACCGGGAGGUCAAGGGGUCGAGCUCCUGCCUGAGGUUAAAUUUGGGCUCAUGUCCCUUGACUCACAUAGUUAUGGGGAGGUCGGCAAAGAUGAUGCUGGUUACUCAAAUACCAUACAAACACUUACACUUUCUACUCGAAGCAGGAUUUGAUAAGUGGCUUAGGUUGAAAUAAUGGCGAGAGCUUGCUUAAUUAUUGAACCUCAUCCAAAACUAUACAAAGGACACACCGUCGCUAGUACCAAGUCAUUGUGUCCUAGCAUCCUAUGCAAAAUGAACCCACCCUUUUCCCAUCAAACCUAGUCAUCUAUGAAUUAUAUGCAAUUAUCUCCAUCACCAACUUAUUUCAUUUUUUGUCACAUCUAGUCUCUUGUGUCACUAUAAAUAGCCUAGGGCUCUCAAAGCGAAAAACCACAGCAAAAUUAAUCACUUCAAAUUGAUAGUUGUAACACUCACUGCACUUCUGAACAUGGCUCAAGAGCAGGUUCCAGUCAUGAUCACUGCUGCUGCAGGAAAUGAGGCUGAGUGGGAGCUGAUUCAAGCAAAAGAAGAUCAGCCAAAGUCGGAUUUCGUUGCUUCCAAGCUUCGGUGCGAUAGCUCCGACUCGGAUUCGAAGUCUGGUUCUGAUUUGAACUCGGUGAGAAACUUCAACAGUUUAAGACUUUUAAACAGAAGACGAUUAUAUCAUUUCGAAAACAACCGAUUUUCCAAAACUUUUAGCUUUUUAAUAGUAGUGUAUUGUAUAUCUUCGAUGCAACGCAAAUCAAUUGAUUUACUUUUUAGAAGACCUAGGAUGUUAUGAAAUGGUAUAUACAAAUUUUGGCGAGCUCCCUACGAACAUGCUCUAUCAAUUUUAUGUUACGUACGUUGAGCAAAAAGUGCUAACUUGGCGGGUUCUUUAUGUUUUGACUUAGCAAUCAAAUAAGAAAAAAGAUUUGAAAGGCAAAUCAAAAGUGGAGGAUCUGAAAGAGAAAAUCAGAAAGAAGAUAAGUGCGAAAAAAGAGCAAAGAAGGAAGAAAACGCUCGAACGCAACAGCUCUAAAUCCGGUUUAGUUUCUGCUUCUGCCUCACCCCCUACGGUCGAUCCUGACUCGGUAACACUACCUUACAAAUAUAAUAUUUUUUUAGUAUUUUAUUAUAUUUUUUCCUCUUUUUUUUUUAUUAGAUGAUACAAUAGCCAUCCUAGUAUAUACCUAUUAUUGGCUAAUUUUGGAGGAUAUGUUGGUACAUGGUACAUGCAAUUCUAGACAUGGUACUGUACUAAUUGCUUGUGAAUAUUAGAUUUAAAAAGUGAAUUGAGCUAAAUAUUGAGCCAAAAAUAACAAAAAUGUAGCUUAAUAUGCAAAAUACUUUUCUUACUUCUACUAGUGAUGACAAAACCUCCAAAAUACAGGCAAAGAAGAGGGGAAAGAAAGAGAUCGCAAAGAGUGCUCACAUGAAAGGACUUGACAAGCUGGAAUGUAAAAGCUCCGACUCAGAUUCAAACUCAAAGUCGGAUGAUGAUUCUAAAUCCGGUUCUGAUUCUGAUACGAAAUCUAAUCAUUCUGGGUUGAAAUCUGAUUCGGAAUCUAAGCCUACUCUGGUAAUAAUAAUAUUUUAACCUGAAAUCCAUGUCCAUAUGUGGUCACUAGCUUAUUAACUAUGUGAAAAUAGGUUAUUACAUGCUACUUGUUACUUGUAGUACAUAAUUAAGAGUUUCAUCCUACACCAAUCAUUUUUAGAGAUUAAAAAAAGCACAAUAAAUUUUCAUCAUAUGACUAAAUUGCAUCUACUUUCCUGAGCUAUCAUUUGCCAUAAGAUGCAAAAAUAUUAAUCACAGUAAAAUUUGUCCAUCCUUAAAAGCACAAGAAAGAAUACAAUAAAUUAAGUUGCUUUUUUCUAUGUUUAAUUUGUUUACGCGAAUUUUAUUGUGCUUUUAAGGAUGGAGAAUGAUUUUUUUUUUGUAUAUUUUACAUGAAUUGUUCAUUGUUAGCUUAUUCUGAUGCAUGUUGGGUACAUGGUAAUAAAAGUUCUAACCAUAACAUCUUAUUAAUUGCUUAUGAAUAUUAGUUGCAAAAGCUGAACUGAACCAAUUAUUGAGAUGGAAAUAACAAGAAAAUAAUUUAAUAUGCAACUUUUCUUGCUUCAUCUAGUAAUAGCAAAGUAGCUUAAUAUUCAAUUUUCUUUUGAUGACAAACACUCAAAAAUACAGGUAAAAAAGAUAGGAAACAAAGCGAUUAUAAGGACUACUCAUGUAGAGGGACUAGAUAAGCUGAAAUGUAAAAAGUCCUCGGAUUCAAGCUCCAAGUCUGAUGAUUCUUCAAAAUCCGAUUCGGACUCAAAGUCAAGUGAUGACUCUCCUUCGUCUCCUUCUUCGAAAUCCGAUGACUCUCCUUCUUCUCCUUCUUCGAAAUCUGAUGACUCUCCUUCUUCUCCUUCUUCGAAAUCUGAUUCUGAUUCAGAUUCGAAAUCAUCAGAUUCGAAAUCAUCAGAUUCUGGUUUGAAAUCUAACUCAGAAUCUAAAUUGAUUGCGGUAAUUAUAUUUUUAACCGGAAAGCCUUGUACAUUUGUGCUUAUUAGCCACUUUGACAUAACAUUAUUAACUCUGUUAAGAAAGAACCAAAACAUGAUUUACUUGUUUGCUAUUUGUUACUUGUAGUAUACGAAAGAGAUGACGGGAACUGCUCAUAUAGAGGGACUUGACAAGCUCGAAUGUAAAAGCUCGGACUCGGAUUCAAACUCAAAGUCGGAUGAUGAUUCUAAAUCCGGUUCUGGUUCUGAUUCUGACGCGAAAUCUAAUGAUUCUGGUUUAAAAGCCGGUUCAAAAUCUAAAUCCAGCGCGGUAAUUUUAUUAUUCAACCUGAAAACCCUAUAUUUUAUGCUCACUAGAUAGCUUGAAGUAAGCUAAUUAAAUAUAUGAAAAAAGAACGAAAACAAGAUUUACUUAUUUUCUAUUUGCUACUUGUAGUAUAUGAAAAUUUCAACCUACACCAUUACCUUUUUAAUAUGUGACUACAUUCAACAGUUACUUUAAAUAGCACAACACUAUAUUUUAUGCCACUUCUACAACAGCACUAUUUUCUACGACUUAACCGAAAAACCCCUACAUCACAUCUAUUUACCUAAGAUGUCAUCUGUCAUAGGAUACCAAAAAAUUGAUCACUGUAAAAUUUGCCCAUGGAUGCAAGCACAAAAUAGAAUAUUGUGGAUUUACCUUUUUUAUAUUUAAUUUGCUUAUGUAAACUUUACUUUAAGUGGGAAGAGAUUACAUGGAGGAUGAGUCUUUGCAUACCAACCUCUCAUAAAACUUUAAGCUGCCAAAGAAUAGUGUUUUAUUAUGUAGUUUAUAUAAAAUUAUUUUAGAUAUCUAUUAUUUGAUUAUUCUUCAUUAUUGUUACGUACAUAGGAAUAAAUAUUCUAGCCAUAAGAUUGUAUUAAUUGAUCAUGAAUAUUGGCAGCAAAAGCUAUUGUGCUAAUUGUUGAGCUAAAGAUGCAAAAAAGUAGUUUAAUAUGUAAUUUUUCUUUUUGUACUUAUGUCUCCAAGAUACAGGCAAAGAAAAAGGGAAAGAAAGAGAUGACAGGAGCCGCGCAUAUAGAGGGACUUGACAAGCUCAAAUGUAAAAGCUCGGACUCAGAUUCGAGCUCAAAGUCGAACGAUUCUGAUUCUGAUGCAAAAUCUAAUGAUUCUGGUUUGAAAUCUGGCUCGAAAUCUAAAUCUAGCAUGGUAAUUUUAUUAUUUAACCCUAGCACCCUAUAUAUUAUGCUCAUUAGGUAGCUUGAACUAAGCUAAUUAACUAGAUGAAAAAAGAAGUCUUUACUUAUUUUCUAUCUAUUACUUGUAGUAUAUAAAAAUUUCAACCUACACCAUUAACCUUUUAACAUGUGAGUACACUCACCGACCGUCCUUAGAGCAAGUGGCAAAGGACUUGGUGGUUGGUAUCGGAUGUCCCAAGUUUGAAUUCUAUUUGAUUCACAUUUCAAGCUAAAUUUAUUUCUAAAUAAAAUAAAUGAAACGAGUAGCGUGCUACCUAUCUCUCAAAAAUAUAUAUAUAUAUAUAUAUAUAAGUACACUCUACAGCUCCUUUAAACACCACAACACUAUAUUUUACAGUACUUAAGUACAUAUGUCAUAGCAUGGAUACAAGCACAAAAUAGAAUAUUGUGUAUUUACCUUUUUUAUAUUUACUUUGCUUAUGUCAACUUUACUUUAAAUGAGAAGAGAUUACAUGGAGGAUGAGUCUUUGUAUACCAACCUCUCAUAAAACUUCAGUCAAAGAAUGAUGUUUUGUAUAGUUUAUAUAUAAUUAUUUUAGAUAUCUAUUAUUUGAUUAGUCUUAAAUAAUUGUUAGGUACAUGGUAAUAAAAAAUUCUAGCCAUAAGAUUGUAUUAAUUACUUAUUUAUAUUAGCAGCAAAAGUUAUUAGGCUUACUGUUGAGUUAAAACUACGAAAAAUAGUUUAAUAUGUAAACUUUUUUACUGAUAUCUCCGAAAUACAGGCAAAGAAAAAGGGAAAGAAAGUGAUGACAGGAACUGCUCAUAUUGAGGGACUUGACAAACUCAAAUGUAAAAGCUCGGACUCGGAUUCAAGCUCAAAGUCUGGCGAUGAUUCUUCUUCUAAAUCUAAUUCUGAUUCUGACGCAAAAUCUAACGAUUCUGGUUUGAAAUCUGGCUCAAAAUCUAAAUCCGGCGCGGUAAUUUUAUCAUUUAAUGCGAAAACCCUAUAUAUUAUGCUCACAAGAUAGCUUGAAACAAUCUAGUUAACUCUAUGAAAAAGAACAAAAACAUGACUCACUUAUUCGCUAUUUGCUGCUUGUAAUACAAAAAAAGUUCAUCAUGUAUCGUUAAUUUAUAGAAAUUAAGAAAAGCACCGUUAAAUUUUAUUAUGUGAAUAGUUUGUAUCUAUCUCCUUAUAAGAUUUAUAAGGAUUUAUAACUGCAAAAUAACAAAAAGUAGUUUAAUAUGCAAUUCUUUUUCUACUUCAAUCUAGUGACGUCAAAGACUCCAAAAUACAGGUAAAAAAAAUACGAAAGAAAAAGAUCACAGGGGCUGCUCAUGUGGAGGGACUUGAUAAGCUGGAAUGUAAAAAGUCUGACUCAGAUUCAAAUUCAAAGUCGAGUGAUGAUUCUUCUUCCAAAUCUGAUUCCAAUUCAGAUUCUGAUAAGAAAUCUAAUCAUUCUGGUUUGAAAUCAGACUCGGAACCAAAAUCUAGUGAGGUAAUUAUAUUAUCUAAUUGAAAAAGCCCGGAUAUAAUAUAUAUCUGCUUACACUAGAUAGCUUGACAUAACAUUAUUAACUCUAUGAAAAAAAAAAAACAAAAGCUUGAUUCACUUAUCACUAUUUGUUACUCUUAAUACAUAAAAGUUCGUCCUAUAAAAAAAAAUCAAGUAAAAUUUUAUUAUGUCCAUAGUUUGUAUCUAUCUGCCUAAUAUUUCUAUAUCUGUCAUAGAUAUAGAAGGAUUUAUAACUGUAAAAUAACAAAAAGUAGUUCAAUACGCAAAUUUCUUUUUUUUCCUGCAAUCUAGUGACGGCAAAGACUCCAAAAUACAGGUAAAGAAAAUACGAAAGAAAAAGAUCACAAGGGCUGCUCAUGUGGAGGGACUUGAUAAGCUGGAAUGUAAAAAGUCUGACUCAGAUUCAAAUUCAAAGUCAAGCGAUGAUUCUUCUUCCAAAUCUGAUUCUGAUUCUGAUUCUGAUAAGAAAUCUAAUCAUUCUGGUUUGAAAUCAGACUCGGAACCAAAAUCCAAUGAGGUAAUUAUAUUAUCUAAUUGAAAAAGCCCGGAUAUAAUAUAUAUCUACUUACACCAAGUAGCUUGACAUAGCAUUAUUAACUCUAUGAAAAAAAAAAAAAGGAACAAAAGCAUGAUUCACCUAUCGCUAUUUGUUACUCAUAAUACAUAAAAGUUCGUCUUAUAAAAGAAAAUCAAGUAAAAUUUUAUUAUGUGAAUAGUUUGUAUCUAUCUGUCUAAUAUUUCUAUAUCUGUCAUACAUAUCGAAGGAUUUAUAACUGUAAAAUAACAAGAAGUAGUUCAAUACGCAAAUUUCUUUUUUUUUAGCUGCAAUCUAGUGACGGCAAAGACUCCAAAAUACAGGUAAAGAAAAUACGAAAGAAAAAGAUCACAGGGGACGCUCAUGUGGAGGGACUUGAUAAGCUGGAAUGUAAAAAGUCUGACUCAGAUUCAAAUUCAAAAUCGAGCGAUGAUUCUUCUUCCAAAUCUGAUUCCGGUUCUGAUUCUGAUAAGAAAUCUAAUCAUUCUGGUUUGAAAUCCGACUCGGAAUCAAAAUCUAAUGAGGUAAUUAUAUUAUCUAACCAGAAAAGCCUUUUAUAUAUAUAUAUAUAUAUAUAUAUAUAUAUAUAUAUAUAUAUAUAUAUAUAUAGUGUAGAGCUAUUAUGCUAGCUAUCGGAAGUAUAGAACAAAAGCACGAUUCACUUAUUCAUUAUUUGUUACUUAUAGUACAUGAAAGUUCGUUUUUGACAUAACAUUAUUAACUCUAUGAAAAAUAGAACAAAAGCUUGAUUCACUUAUUCACUAUUUGUUACUCAUAAUACAUAAAAGUUCAUUCUGUACCGUUAAUUUCUAGAAAUUAAGAAAAGUACAGUAAAAUGUUAUUACAUGAAUAGUUAAUUUGUAUCUAUAUGCGUAAAAUGUCUUAUCAUAAGAUAUAGAAGGACUUAUAACUGUAAAAUAACAAAAAGAAGUUUAAUAUGCAAUUUGUUUUUUACUUCUAUUUAGUGAUAACAAUGACUCCAAAAUACAGGUAACGAAAAUACGAAAGAAAAAGAUCGUAGGGGCUGCUCAUGUGGAGGGACUUGUAAAGCUGGAAUGUAAAAAAUCUGACUCAGAUUCGAAUUCAAAGUCAAGCGAUGAUUCUUCUUCCAAAUCUGAUUCCGAUUCUGAUUCUGAUAAGAAAUCUAAUCAUUCUGGUUUGAAAUCCGACUCAGAAUCAAAAUCUAAUGAGGUAAUUAUAUUAUCUAACCAGAAAAGCCUUACAUAUAUAUAUAUAUAUAUAUAUAUAUAUAUAUAUAUAUAUAUAUAUAUAUAUAUAUAUUGNAAAUGAGUUGAGACAAAAAUAUAUAAGGAUAAUAUAUGCUCUUAUUUUCGGAGGGAUAUGCAUCUUAACCAAAACAGAGCGAUAUACACAACGCGCUAUUGCUUACAAAAAUAAAGAAAACUUUUUUCAUAUUAUAAUUUUUCUUUGCACAUAAUGCAUCCCACCUGCAAUCCGAAACAGAGCUUUAAGAUCAAGGUUCUAUAGAAUUCGUGAGUUGAGACGACGUGUCGCCUAAUAAAGAACAUCAACUGGCUCCCUACUCAGCCUUAUGAAAAGAGUUGGUAUAUAUAUGUUCCAAACGAAAAUAACUAAGGACUUACUUAUUGAUAUCCAAAAAAUUAAGUUUAAAAUUUAGUUGCUUCACAUUUUUAGCUGAAUUUAUUUCUUAAAAAUGAAUAUACUAUUUUUUUAAAGCCAAUUUAUGCGUGACAAAUUAAUAUGUCAAUAUGUUAGUAAUUUUUUUGAAAAAGUUAAACCUAAUCACUCUUGUCACUCGAAAUGAUGUCAAUAAGAUAAAUGGAGAUGAUUUAUCUUAUUGCAAAAAAAAAAAAAAAGAAAAAAAGGCUGAAUAUAGUAUGUCAUUAUAGAUAUCUAAUAUCUAAUCAAGUUGUCAUAGUAGAUAUCAAUCUCUGAUUACACUCCUGAUCUUUCAAAUACUAAACUUUUUUUACAAAAAUUAAGAAAAUAUACUUAAUUAAUUCCUUUUAAGGGAAACCCAAAAAAAAAGUGUACCUUGGCUGUGUGAAACUCCUAUUACAAGCAUUGUGUGAACAAAAAAAAAGAAAGAAAACAAAAAAUCUUAAUUUUCUCCUGCACAUACUAUAUAUGCGUGACAAGUCAAUUCAUACAAUUAUAGAUAAGGAUUUAAGUGCCCAUCAGCCUAUAGUAAAGCUCAAAAAAAAUAUAAUUUUCAAGUAAUUUUUUUUUAAUAAAGUUCAAAAAUUUUAAUAAAAAUGCAUAAUAAAUAAAAAGAAUAUUUUGUUGCAAAAAAAAAAGUAAAUAUUGUAUGCUAUUAUAUAUUGUCGCAAAUGUAAUUUUAUGAUUUUGUAUAUACAAUGCCGUACUAUACCAACAAAUUUUCUCCACGCACAUAAAUCCUUACUAAUGUGUCAACAUCCACUCCUCAAGUAACCUUUAACUAGUUUCCAACACUAGGAGCUAAUUAACUAACUUAAUAAUGAAAGAGAGGGAGUGAGAAGAGUCAAAAACAUGUUUUUUCCCUUCAAAAAAUCACGAGUAGAGCUAGAAUACUUGUAAAAGUAUCACCCAAGUGAUACUUGUGUGUUUUUAGCCCUUGGAUGGAGAGAUGUGAGGUUGAGAUGAUGGUGGUAGGUGGAAUAGUGUUUGAUCCAAGGACUAUUAGUAAUCAAAAAGUAGAUCCAAUGGCUAAAAACAUACAAAUAUCAUUUAGGUGAUACUUGUAAGGGUGCGUUUGGUUCGCGCUAUCUUUUAAAGAUUCCUAGUAAUCCAAUGGGAAUAAAAAAAUAUGACGGUGUUUGGCUAAACGCGCUAAGUAAUCUAGUUGGUAAUAUUGGAUUCACUUGGGAAUAAGAUUCACCCCAAAGUACUAAUCUCAUUCCCUUGAGGGAGGGUGGGUAUCCUCGUAUUAAUGGAUUGGGGUAAUCAUAAUAUGUCUAAUAUCUUUCUUUCUUCCUACCCGCCGGCUAAUUGAUAUUAUUUUUCUUUACACUCUAACCUUAUAUCUCUCUCUAAACUUAUUUUUCUCUCUAAAAUUCAACUUUUUUCUCUCUAACUAAGCUUUCUCUCUUCUCUCUCUCUCUUUGCUAAAAUUUACUCUUACUCUCUCUAAUUUCGCUAUAUAUUUUUUUUCUAUUUUUUAAUUAUUCUCUCUCUCUCUACUGUUACAUCUCUCUCCCUUUUUUCUAAAAAAUGUUGAAACUUUUUGUAACAUAUAUCUAAAUUAAUUAAAUCUAAUUAAUUAAUAAUUGUAUAUUUUUUCUUAAUAUUAAAUAACAUGGCUAAUUAAUAUUACCAUCGCGAUACCAUACACGAGGAAUUCCACCUUCUUGAUAUAGGAUAAUAGAAAGAUAGAUCUCGGAUAUCUUUUUAUUCAUACAUAAUCUUUUUAAUGCGAACAAACGCACGCCUAAAAGUUAUUCUAGUCCUACUCAAAAAAUCACAUCUUUAAUAAUAAUUACCACUACAUAAGGAGAGCACUUGUCUUAGGUCAAAGUUUGCUCCCAAGUUACAAUUCCAAGUAAAGCCACCACCGUUCACACGAAGCAAGCCCAUUAGUUGAUGGAGAGCGUUUUCAAGUUUCCAUCUUGGAAAGGUCACUCCUGGACUCCCAAAGCCAAGUGUGCUGAGCAGGCUGAGCUUCUUCCAAAUCCAAACCUGCGAACUAUUCCAUUAUUAAAGUUAUUUGAAGCUUUUUUUCGUUUUUUUCUUUUCUUGAGAGAUAGAUAGCAAAGAUACUUGCCUUCGUUAUGUUUCAUAGAAAUAAAAUUAGUCAGAUUGGUCUGACUUUUUAUACAUGGGUAUCAGAAUUACAAAGUGAUCGAGUUGGAUUUUGAUUUAGCCAACUCGUUUUUCAACUAAUUUCGCGUUUCGUUUUAUCUGAUUUUAUCCACUCUCUAACCAAUUUGUAACAUGCUAAAAUAAGUAAAAAAAGGUUAGUUUCACGUAACGAUCAGUUAGAAUUGUGGAUCGUAUUAUAAUAUGUAAGAAUUUUUCAAUUUAUUGACUUAAAAACUUUUGUAUCGAGGCUUCAGUUGGAAGAGACGUCGAUAAAUAAUCACAAUUCAUCUUUGAAACAACUCACUCUAAAAUGUUAGAAAACUCUAAAAACUCUUUCGAUUGUCAACUCAGAAUCGAACGUGAAUACUCUAGAUUGAAAUCAAAAUAAUCCAUUUACCUAAAUUAGAUCGUUUGAAGAUGAACAAACUAUAUUUAUGUGAAACUAUUUAAUGGUUAUUUAUCCGCAUAAUUGAUUAAUUGAGUUUCUCACCUUAAUAAUGCUGACUCAUCAGCAACAUGCUUAGGACUUUGAGAGGAGAAGUUGCGUACGCUAAGUACCAAUUUAGUCUUUUAGGUUAUCUCGCAACUUAUUAACACAACAUUCAACUUGUGAUUGGGUGACUUGUCGCUUCCUCACUAAUUUUUUAUUUUAUUUUGGGUCAUACUUAGUCAUUUUUUCAGAGAAAUUGGUUUGCUGACAUCAUCCAAAUAGAUGGGAGCAUGAAAAUGGUGUUUCUUUUUUUCUUUUAUUGUUAUUAUUAAAAAAUUUGUUUACAGUGUAUUAUUGGUUGAAUACAUUAUAAUAUAUAUAUAUUUAAGUCGAUGGAUGUUUAUAUAUAUAUUUGAUCAGAUUACACUACAACAAAAACGGUCUAUAGCGACACUUUUAAAUAUAGGCAUACAUUGUUAAAAACGUGAUGCUAGCUAAAAUUACCGACACUUUUAAAAAGUGUUGCUAUAUGUGGGGUCGCUAGGUAUAUAGUGACAGUUAAAGAGUGUCGCUAUAACCUAAAAGAGUGCUGCUAAUUUACCAACACUUAUUUAAAUAUUUAGCAACCGUCGAAACUCUAUCUCGUUGGCUGCGGUGGCGGAGGAGGACGACAGUAAAGACUCUUCAUCUAGAAUUUCAGUGGAUUGAGUGAAGAGAGAAGAAAAGAUGGUAAUUAAUUUUUCUUUUUUUUUUCUUUUCUGUUUGUAAUCGGGCCAAAUGGACUGGGUGUGGUGGGUUGAGUAGAGUAAUUUUUUAUUUUUGGUUGGAUUGGGUUUUAUAUUUAGGCAUUAGUAGAUGUAUUUUUAAGUUUUAGUAUAAAUGGGACACUUACUCAAAAGUGUUCCAAACAUGUGUCCCUAUAACUUAAUUCUGUUGUAGUGUUAAUACAUCAUAUUUAUUAAAAAUAAACAUCACUUAUAUUCUUCUCGGCUAAAAACAACUUGACUCUU